RNAcentral lists this long non-coding RNA (224 nucleotides) under Lupinus angustifolius (narrow-leaved blue lupine). RNAcentral's name for it is "long non-coding RNA (LANG_LNC001248)". Lineage: Eukaryota; Viridiplantae; Streptophyta; Magnoliopsida; Fabales; Fabaceae. The record is from RNAcentral.
UCGGCGCUUUAGUUGAAAUGAUUCAAAGACUUCAAUAGAUUUUGAAGUUAAGGAACCCAAGAAAUUGUAUAUCUUGUUCUCUGUCCAUGAUGGCUCUGUUUAUUUCAUGCUCCUAAUCUACUCAUCAGUUGUGAACACAAAUGGUCCAUCAAAGUGAACUAGCUUCCCACCAACUUCACCUCCUUAUGAUGAUUCAAUUCCACCCCCAUCUUUUUCAAAACUUG